AGACCCGAAACCCGGUGAUCUAGCCAUGGGCAGGUUGAAGGUUGGGUAACACUAACUGGAGGACCGAACCGACUAAUGUUGAAAAAUUAGCGGAUGACCUGUGGCUGGGGGUGAAAGGCCAAUCAAACCGGGAGAUAGCUGGUUCUCCCCGAAAGCUAUUUAGGUAGCGCCUCGUGAAUUCAUCUCCGGGGGUAGAGCACUGUUUCGGCUAGGGGGCCAUCCCGGCUUACCAACCCGAUGCAAACUGCGAAUACCGGAGAAUGUUAUCACGGGAGACACACGGCGGGUGCUAACGUCCGUCGUGAAGAGGGAAACAACCCAGACCGCCAGCUAAGGUCCCAAAGUCAUGGUUAAGUGGGAAACGAUGUGGGAAGGCCCAGACAGCCAGGAUGUUGGCUUAGAAGCAGCCAUCAUUUAAAGAAAGCGUAAUAGCUCACUGGUCGAGUCGGCCUGCGCGGAAGAUGUAACGGGGCUAAACCAUGCACCGAAGCUGCGGCAGCGACGCUGAUGCGUUGUUGGGUAGGGGAGCGUUCUGUAAGCCUGUGAAGGUGGCCUGUGAGGGUUGCUGG
Molecule: ribosomal RNA, 569 nt
Filed under: Salmonella enterica
Lineage: Bacteria; Pseudomonadati; Pseudomonadota; Gammaproteobacteria; Enterobacterales; Enterobacteriaceae
Description: partial 23S ribosomal RNA
Rfam family: Bacterial large subunit ribosomal RNA
Source: RNAcentral